ACGCCGUAAUGAUUAAUAGGGACAGUCGGGGGGCAUCAGUAUGUCAAUUGUCACAGGAGAAAUUCUUGGAUUUAUUGAAGACUAACUACUGCGAAAGCAUUUGCCGAGGAUGUUUUCAUUUAUCAGGAACGAAAGGUAGGGGAACGAAAACGAUCUCAUACCGUCCUAUGCUUAACCAUAAACUAUGCCGACUAUGGAUCGGACGAUGUUAUUUUUUGACUCGUUCGGCUCCUUACGAGAAAUCAAAGUGCUUGGGCUCCAGGGGGAGUAUGGGCGCACGGCUGAAACUUAAAGAAAUUGACGGAAGGGCACCACCAGGGGUGGAGCCUGCGGCUUAAUUUGACUCAACACGGGGAAACUCACCAGGUCCAGACACAAUGAGGAUUGACAGAUUGAGAGCUCUUUCUUGAUUUUGUGGGUGGUGGUGCAUGGCCGUUCUUAGUUGGUGGAGUGAUUUGUCUGCUUAAUUGCGAUAACGAACGAGACCUUAACCUGCUAACUAGCCCGUAUUGCUUUGGCAGUACGCUGGCUUCUUAGAGGGACUAUCGGCUCAAGCCGAUGGAAGUUUGAGGCAAUAACAGGUCUGUGAUGCCCUUAUAUGUUCUGGGCCGCACGCGCGUUACACUGACAGAGCCAGCGAGUACUUCCUUGACUUAAAAGUCCGGGUAAUCUUGUUAAACUCUGUCGUGCUGGGG
Molecule: ribosomal RNA, 695 nt
Filed under: Colletotrichum sp. 5LF1
Lineage: Eukaryota; Fungi; Ascomycota; Sordariomycetes; Glomerellales; Glomerellaceae
Description: SSU rRNA
Rfam family: Eukaryotic small subunit ribosomal RNA
Source: RNAcentral